GGAAAAAGAAGAAGAAAAUUUUCAUUUUACUUUUCUUCUUCUCUUCCCUCCACCGCCAAGGUUUUCUCCAUCCAUUUCCACCACUUUCUUCACCAUUUCUACACCAAAUUUCAGAGGAAUUUCAAAGGGAAGAAGAUUGAGAAAGGAAGAAGAAGAAUUUCAAGAAGUUUUGUUGAAGAAAGAAAGGGAAUUGCAAGCAAAGCUUCAUCCUUGGCAAAAAUUGAUUCACACAACACACCUCUAAUGUUCAGUUGAUUCUAAGCUACACAAGACGAAUUAAGAGGUGUUGAGCCCGAGGCUAUAUGGUACCGUGUGCACACAAGUUAGAUUCCAUUGUUGACAUUGAGUGUACUCUGUAACAACGAUGUUGUCAUGAGUGCUGGAUGGGACCCACUACGAUGAAGACGAUGAGAGUGUUGGGCGGGCCCCACUACAUCGUAGAGCUUGUAAAUGUUGUUGUACUGGGUGUACCCUACACAACGUAGAUUUGUCAUGUUAGUUAAAAUAUUUUGAUAUACUUGAUAGGCCUUGCUAGAUUUCAAUGAUGUAUAUACUGAGUAUUUAAGGAAGCUAUUCUUACGAUUAUACGUCUAUGUUUACGACUUGUAUAAACAAAUUUAUAAGUGUAGAGAUCGAGUUUCCAGUGCCUGAUAGACUGCCUUAGUCUGCUGAAGUUUCGAUAUCGAUUGCCAGUACGUGGUUAGAGUUGUGCACAGAGUCUGUUGUAUUAUAAUGUAUAUAUCUUUGUAUGAUAUAGAUACUCCAUAGUUUGUGUAAACUUUAGGAGCUGUGGUUGUAUAAACCUUUGUUGGUUAUAUUUUA
This is a long non-coding RNA of Cucumis melo (muskmelon), 822 nucleotides long. RefSeq lists it as uncharacterized. Lineage: Eukaryota; Viridiplantae; Streptophyta; Magnoliopsida; Cucurbitales; Cucurbitaceae. The transcript is spliced from 3 exons. The record is from RefSeq and is a predicted model, not a curated record.